Transfer RNA from Phytophthora infestans T30-4, 73 nucleotides. It matches the Rfam family "tRNA". From Rfam's summary of the family: Transfer RNA (tRNA) molecules are approximately 80 nucleotides in length. Their secondary structure includes four short double-helical elements and three loops (D, anti-codon, and T loops). The record is from Rfam. Lineage: Eukaryota; Oomycota; Peronosporomycetes; Peronosporales; Peronosporaceae.
CCCCCUGUAGCUCAGUGGUAGAGCACCCGCUUAGUAAGCGGAAGGUCGGGUAGUUCAAUCCUGCCUGGGGGCA